GGAGCCAGGAAAUUUCCAUUGGGGUGGCCAGGAUGGGGCCAGUGAUAAUUUUUGGGUGGCAAGCAUUUGUCUCACCAGGAGAUGCAGAGCUAUUUAAGACACAUACAGCAAACAUCUCAACAUUAUUCGGAAUUCAGGUGAAGGUGCAAUAGAAAAGUAUUCAAUAUAUUUAAAUUGUUCUUAUACCUAAAGGCAAAGUAACAAAGAAGCUAAAACUUAAAAAAGAAUAUACACUUAUUCUGUAUUCAUACUUGUUUUUAAACUGUGUUGAUUUACCGAUUGCUAUUUGUGUUUUUAUUUGUAUUGUACGACUGAGUCGAACAAUGGUUGUACAGAUAUGCAUUGACAGCAAGGUAUUCUAUUUUAAAGUAGAGAUGCCCUCAGUUUAUUGCGACAAGCCAAGUCAAUUCUCUCAGUGUAUCAUCAGGAAUACAAAACAAGGAUACAAAAUUAGAAGUGCAAUGUUUUUUUAAUCAAGUCUGAUCACAAUAUGGAUUUAUCUUUAAAUAACAAAAAGUAUAAUACUGAGCUAAUGUAUAGAAAUAUGAAAAUAAAUAAAAUAACAUCCUGAAUACAAUUUGCUGAAUUCCAACAAAUGUAAAUAUGACAAGCAUUUACAGCCUGUUUAAAUAAGCAGUGUCAAUUUUUCUUCAAUUCGAUCCAUAAACAUCUAUCAAACACAUAAUAACAAACAUCAUAUCACAAUGGGUAUUAGGCAGAGUCUGCAUGAUUAGAUUCAAGUUUGAGCCACAUUUACACAUAUCAGACAGAGAAUCCAAACAGUGACAUCUCAUUAAAACUGAACACUUCAAUGACUGUCCUUAAAGAUCUAUCGGUUCUUGAUUUGGAAAUGUCUGUUUAAAAAUGGAAAAAAAGGCAUAUUCAAUUAUUAAAUUACAGCAGAGAUUAAUAACAAUCAAGAUAAACUCAUACAUUGGAGUGUACUAUCCCAUGUUACAUCUAAUCGAUUAUCUGAACACUAUAAUCAGCUUAAAACGUUAUAGAUUUGAGGCCAUUCAUCCAACUCUACUCCAGUUGAGGUGAGUGGUAUGACUCAUACCUGUUUAUGAAUUAUCAGGGCACUGUAUCAGAUUGGGCAAAACUGAAGUGGAAUUAAAGUGUCCAGUAUGUGUGAAAAAGUGAGUAUACCUGGAGGUCCACUUGGGCCGCCACUCGUUGUUGGAGGCUCCUCUCUCUCGCUGUCUGAAUCUUCUGUGGGAAUCUAAAUAUAUAUAUUAAAAACAUUAAUAGGUGUUUAAAGUAUUUUCCACAAGGUGUAAUGAUCCACUAUCCAAGUAUUUCACAGAUACAAAAGAUUAAAAUUCAUUUUCUACAGCAUUAAACAUAUACAAUAUAAACUUGUGGACAAUAUCGAUGGAAAAGUUAGCAGAAGAGUACAACAUACAAUGUAAGAUUGACAAUUUACCUGGGGAUCCACUGGGGCCACUCCUCAGGGAGGACUCUUCUGUCCUGCUCUCAAUCAAUCUUUCAGAAACAUCAAAAAUAAUUACAAUAAGGUGUACAGGUAAUUUUCCUAAAGGUUUUAUAAUGCAUGCUAUAUAGUGUUUAACAAACACACUAUAAGCUAAAGUAUAAUAUUAGUGAAAGUGUCUCUGGAUAGCAAAUACAAAUAUGCCAUACUUUAAUGUACUGAAAAAACGAACUGAUAUGUUUUACAAUGCACUUUCAACCUGACCUGUAUAUGAAUAGACAAACUUUAAGCCAAUUGUAAAUAAGAUAACCUCAUACCAAGCUGUACUAUAUGUGAGUCUCUAUACUGUAUACCUGGAGGUCCAUUUAAGUUGCUGCUCUCUGGGGGCUCCUCAUCCUCGCUCUCUUCCUGUUUUUUCUCCAUCUCACCCUCAUUCUUUGCCUUAGCUGACUUCUUUCCACUUGCCCUGAAGAAGGACGCUAUGUCUGCCUUCUUCCUCUUCAUUAUUUUUCCCUCUUUAAUGACACUUAUCCAAAAUGCAGCAUAAAUACUGUAUAUACCUGACACAAUCAUAACACGUUCUGGCAACAAUAGCAGUUAACAGCAAAUAACUAGAUCGAAAGUCGAUCCGAAGUUGCAAAAACAAAUACGUGUAGAGACUAGAGAGAGAUUAUAUUAAAACAAUGUACACAAUCUCGCAACGUAGUUAUCAAAUACAGCAUAGCAUAUACGACGCUGAAGUUGGCAUCCGAUUCGCAGCAUCCGAUUCGGCAGCUGGUCCACUUUAAAUCGGUCCUGAUUGAAAACCACUACACCUAGACUCUUCAAAUCUGGACUAAAUUUUCACAGUGAGGCUAUACAUUAUAUAAAACAUAGUUACAGAUUUGUGAAA
This is a long non-coding RNA of Gadus macrocephalus (Pacific cod), 2324 nucleotides long. RefSeq lists it as uncharacterized. NCBI's taxonomy places the organism in Eukaryota, Metazoa, Chordata, Actinopteri, Gadiformes, Gadidae. The record is from RefSeq and is a predicted model, not a curated record. The transcript is spliced from 2 exons.